Molecule: long non-coding RNA, 397 nt
Organism: Tachysurus fulvidraco (yellow catfish)
Lineage: Eukaryota; Metazoa; Chordata; Actinopteri; Siluriformes; Bagridae
Exons: 3
Source: RefSeq, a predicted model, not a curated record
UCUGCUAAUCCCUUAUGUGUCAAACUUAUGGCCCAGACAUAUUCAAAUGUACAAAUAUAAUCACUGCAAAAGGUAAAACUGAUGAUAUUUGCGUAACAACAUGCAAAGGUCAUUUUUAGAAAGGCAUUAUAUGGCAAAAGGUUAGGUUCUGAUGUUAGGCAAGAAGGCCUGGGGUGCACUCAGUAUAUACACUAUAUAGGCAAACCUUUGUGGACAUCAGAUCAUCAUACCCAAUAAUGUGGCUUCCCCAAAUGGCUGGUGUAGAAGAUUUUUAGUAGCUUGCACAGAGCCCUGACCUCAACCCCACUGAACACCUUAAAGAUGAACUGGAACUGGAUGCACUUCGUGCCCAAUAUCAGUACCAGACCUCACUAAAUCUCUUGUGGCUGAAUGAGCA